UGACGAGCUGGCGGACGGGUGAGUAAUGCUUGGGAACUUGCCUUUGCGAGGGGGAUAACAGUUGGAAACGACUGCUAAUACCGCAUAAUGUCUUCGGACCAAACGGGGCUUCGGCUCCGGCGCAAAGAGAGGCCCAAGUGAGAUUAGCUAGUUGGUAAGGUAACGGCUUACCAAGGCGACGAUCUCUAGCUGUUCUGAGAGGAAGAUCAGCCACACUGGGACUGAGACACGGCCCAGACUCCUACGGGAGGCAGCAGUGGGGAAUAUUGCACAAUGGGGGAAACCCUGAUGCAGCCAUGCCGCGUGUGUGAAGAAGGCCUUCGGGUUGUAAAGCACUUUCAGUUGUGAGGAAAAGUUAGUAGUUAAUACCUGCUAGCCGUGACGUUAACAACAGAAGAAGCACCGGCUAACUCCGUGCCAGCAGCCGCGGUAAUACGGAGGGUGCGAGCGUUAAUCGGAAUUACUGGGCGUAAAGCGCACGCAGGCGGUUUGUUAAGCUAGAUGUGAAAGCCCCGGGCUCAACCUGGGAUGGUCAUUUAGAACUGGCAGACUAGAGUCUUGGAGAGGGGAGUGGAAUUCCAGGUGUAGCGGUGAAAUGCGUAGAUAUCUGGAGGAACAUCAGUGGCGAAGGCGACUCCCUGGCCAAAGACUGACGCUCAUGUGCGAAAGUGUGGGUAGCGAACAGGAUUAGAUACCCUGGUAGUCCACACCGUAAACGCUGUCUACUAGCUGUGUGUGCCUUUAAGNCGUGCGUAGCGAAGCUNANCGCGCUAAGUAGACCGCCUGGGGAGUACG
This 795-nucleotide ribosomal RNA is filed under the name Alteromonadales bacterium HOT10C9. RNAcentral describes it as "bacterial SSU rRNA". It matches the Rfam family "Bacterial small subunit ribosomal RNA", at positions 88 to 884 of the family's 1533-position model. The record is from RNAcentral. Lineage: Bacteria; Pseudomonadati; Pseudomonadota; Gammaproteobacteria; Alteromonadales.